GUUAUCCUGAAAAUAUGCUAUAAAAAAUUAUCUUUUGCAAUAUGUAUAUUCUACAAAUUAGCUUGACUAAGAUUUGCAUUUAUUAGUUUUAAACAUUGUUAAUAUAAAGCCUAGUCAUCUUUUCUGUAUCCAUGAUUUCCUGGAUCAGACAAGGCUGUUAUUGGUGCAUUUUGUCUAGAUUGAGUGAUAAUGAAUGUGUUUGUUGUGUAACAUUUUUGACAAUGUAUUACGUUUUAUUUGGGUACAUCUCUACCUUGAUGUGAUAAUUGGCUUGAAGUCACAUCAAAGAGAGAUAUAUAUAUAUAUAUAACUUUUAUUUAUACUAAGUAAGUUUUUCUUUGUAUGAGAAUUAAUCAAGAAUUAUUAAACCUGUUUAAACUAUUUUAUAAGCUUUGUAUGAAAAUUAAUCAAGAAUAUUUUAACCUGUUUAAACUAUUUUAUAAGAUCUUGUGCAAAUUAUAUGGCUUUUGUGCACGAGAACUAUAUAGGUUUAAAUAUGUUUAAUGAAUACAGGAAAUACUUCAAGUCAAGGCACAAGAAAAGGCAAAUGUUAGUAUGAAAGAGUUGUUAGUUAUGAGUAUUGUGUGUUGAAUAGUGAUGAUUAAAGUAACCUUCUCUAUUAUAAAUGUAGAUUGAAAUCCAGAUUCUGUAAAAUGUUUUGUCACAAAGAGGGGGGCAACUCAUUCAGUAAGUCUUAUCUUUUCUACAGAUAUUUAUUGAAUAUUUUGUUAUAAAUAGCUUUGUUAUGUUUUACUUCAAUAAAGAUAAACAUGGAAAAAUAUAUGAUGUAUUUUUGUGUUUAAUAAUUAAGUAUCACAUUGGUAGUAUAUGUAUUUGUUUUCUAUCAUAAGCUUAAAAUAUACUAUAAAAGGGAAGGUAGGAGACCCCAUUCUUUGUCAUAUUAAAAAUCAAAG
This 914-nucleotide long non-coding RNA is filed under the name Mytilus galloprovincialis (Mediterranean mussel). Lineage: Eukaryota; Metazoa; Mollusca; Bivalvia; Mytilida; Mytilidae. The record is from RNAcentral.